ACUAGACACAGCUGUGUUCAGUUUUGUAAACUGUGAAUUUGACUUAAAAUACCUGCUUAUUUUUCUAAUUAAUUCGCAGAUUUGGAUAAAAGUUCACAUGAAUGACAAUAUUUUUCCAGUCUAAACUUAAAACAAGUCUCAAACAUGACUUCUACUGUGGUAUAAAGAAGAUUUAUUGCCCCUGUGGAUGAAUACCGGUACUCAUACAAAGCACGUCAGUAAAAAUCCACUCGGUAAUAAUGAUGAGAAGGAACAUUACCGUGUACAAGUUGAAUAGAUCAUUUUCUGUAAAACUGGAUAAUUGCAAGACUUGUGCCAUCUAUUUAAUUGAGGCCUUUGUCCUGCAAGCUUUUGUCUCUGGGAUGGGAUGAUGUCACCUUUUGUACCUGUCUGGUAUCUACCAUGAUGAGGCCUUGAUCCUGGCUGAGGGUGUUGGCUGUUUGAUGAAUGCUAAAUUGGGAAGCAGCUAUAGGAAACCUGAAUUUCUAACACACUCUGCAACACUUGAGCUAGAGCAAAUACAACUGAUACUUAUAAAAUCACUAAGGCAUUUGCCACUUGUCACUAUCUCUUAUACAGUCAUUGGUACAUCAGUUCUCUUCCAGUUCUUCCAUCCUUGGCCUACAACAGAGCAAACUCCCUGCUUAUCUGUCACACUUGCAAUUUCAACUGAGUUGCUCUGGACUUGGAAGAAGUUGAUCGGUUCUAAGAUCAAGGAUUUCCCGACUCUGGAAGAAGGACAGCAAAUAAAACAUAGUCCUUUACACUGAGGAGUUUGAAAGGGAAUGUCACUAGGUCUGAGGAGAGAAAACACUGUACCAUCUGUAUCUGUCUGGAGUUGACUUUUCCUUCUGUCUCUCUGAAGAGAAUAAACAAGCAGAGGUAUAAUUGCCCAUGGUGUGGAGCAUCCCCAGGCAGUAGAGGCAGACUGGCUCUCGCCUCAUCUCUCUGCUGAGUCUGGGAGCUCUACAUCACUGCUGGCAGACACAGAGCAAGGACUGCUGCUCUUCUUCAU
Gallus gallus (chicken) is the source of this 1015-nucleotide long non-coding RNA. The record is from Ensembl. Lineage: Eukaryota; Metazoa; Chordata; Aves; Galliformes; Phasianidae.